Molecule: ribosomal RNA, 597 nt
Filed under: Triticum aestivum (bread wheat)
Lineage: Eukaryota; Viridiplantae; Streptophyta; Magnoliopsida; Poales; Poaceae
Description: partial small subunit ribosomal RNA
Source: RNAcentral
GACACUCUCUUCUUCGAGGAUCGUAUUGUUGUGCCCAAAGGUGACCUCCGUAAAGUGAUCAUGAACGAGGCUCACAAUUCUCUCCUCUCCAUCCACCCUGGGAGCACGAAGAUGUAUCAGGACCUCAAGCAGGCUUAUUGGUGGACUCGAAUGAAGCGCGAGAUUGCUCAAUUCAUGAAUGAAUGUGAUGUAUGCAGAAGAGUGAAGGCAGAACACCAAAGGCCAGCUGGUCUCCUCCAGCCUCUUGCCAUUCCAGAAUGGAAGUUUGACCAUAUUGAGAUGGACUUCGUGACUGGGUUUCCAAAGUCCAAGCGUGGCAAUGAUGCUAUAUUCGUUGUCAUCGACAAACUCACCAAAGUGGCUCACUUUCUGCCUAUCAAAGAGUCAAUCACUGCAGCUCAAUUGGCAGAACUCUAUACCUCUCGGAUUGUCUCUCUGCACGGUAUUCCUCAAGUGAUCUCUUCAUACCGUGGCAGCAUCUUUACCUCCAAGUUUUGGGAUUCUUUUCAGAAGGCCAUGGGCACCAACAUCCGCUUCAGCACAGCUUUCCAUCCUCAAACUAGCGGUCAAGUCGAGCGUGUCAACCAGAUUCUUUAA